AUUGCCCCAGUAACGGCGAGUGAAGCGGCAACAGCUCAAAUUUGAAAUCUGGCCCCCAGGGCCCGAGUUGUAAUUUGUAGAGGAUGCUUUUGGCGCGGUGCCUUCCGAGUUCCCUGGAACGGGACGCCAUAGAGGGUGAGAGCCCCGUCUGGUUGGACACCUAGCCUCUGUAAAGCUCCUUCGACGAGUCGAGUAGUUUGGGAAUGCUGCUCUAAAUGGGAGGUAUAUGUCUUCUAAAGCUAAAUACCGGCCAGAGACCGAUAGCGCACAAGUAGAGUGAUCGAAAGAUGAAAAGCACUUUGAAAAGAGGGUUAAAUAGUACGUGAAAUUGUUGAAAGGGAAGCGUUUGUGACCAGACUUGGGCCCGGUUGAUCAUCCACCGUUCUCGGUGGUGCACUCUGCCGGCCCAGGCCAGCAUCAGUUCGCGCCGGGGGAUAAAGGCUUCGGGAAUGUGGCUCCUCCGGGAGUGUUAUAGCCCGUUGUGUAAUACCCUGGUGCGGACUGAGGUUCGCGCUCCGCAAGGAUGCUGGCGUAAUGGUCAUCAGCGACCCGUCUUGAAACACGGACCAAGGAGUCGUCUUCGUAUGCGAGUGUUCGGGUGUCAAACCCCUACGCGUAAUGAAAGUGAACGCAGGUGAGAGCUUCGGCGCAUCAUCGACCGAUCCUGAUGUUCUCGGAUGGAUUUGAGUAAGAGCAUACGGGGCCGGACCCGAAAGAAGGUGAACUAUGCCUGUAUAGGGUGAAGCCAGAGGAAACUCUGGUGGAGGCUCGCAGCGGUUCUGACGUGCAAAUCGAUCGUCAAAUAUGGGCAUGGGGGCGAAAGA
The sequence is a ribosomal RNA, 824 nucleotides long. It matches the Rfam family "Eukaryotic large subunit ribosomal RNA", at positions 74 to 930 of the family's 3401-position model.